ACCUCGAUUCGCACCACCUCACUCUCCACGUCAAGGUCCACGUGGCGAAGGUAGGUGAGGAGUGUCAGUGAGGACGAGGAAGGCGUGUGGUGCAGGGAUACGAAGUGAACAACGCGCUUGAGGCCCGUAUUCGGAGCUUCGAGUUGUUUUGUUGCGCACCAGGCAGCUGUGUGUGCUGUAGGCCACCCAUGUGAGGGCUGUGGCGUCAGCAUCUUCCAGUGCCUAAAGAAACGGUGGGAUAGAAAACUUAGCGACUACAGAGUCUAGUACCAGUGCGUAGUGACUGCUGGACAGGUGCUGCCUCGUGGCGUUCCCUAGAAACAGGUGGCAAAAAUGAGGAGAUCUUUGGGAGUGACUGGGAUGAGAAAACACAAGGAAGCCACCACUGGUGCAACAGCUGUUGUACCCCCCAGCACUCCAGCUGCUGCUACCACCACUGAUCCUGCCAGCAACAUCCGGUCAGCAAGUACCCGUGCAAACUUGGCCCUGUGAAUAUGGUUAGAGUAUUAUUUUUGAGAUUAUAAAUAUACAUCAGUGAUGCAAUAUAACACACACAUACAUAAAGGACUCAUUCAAACUGCAAAAUGUAAAAAUGUAAAGAAUGUUACUGUUACUGUGAAUAUAUAUACUGUAAUGAGAAAAAAAAAAAAAGGGAUCUAAUCUUUUCACAAACGAAGAAAAAAAACUACACACCGAAAUUGGGUUGUGCGUCUUGGUGGUCGGCCCGUGAGGAAAUGACACAACUUCUCAUAAACUUGCUCCCGGUUUAGAUACACAAAGUCUAAUAACUCAACUGCUGUCUCUUGGACACACUCAGCAGAGAGACGCUUUAUGUCCAACCCUUUAACCUUACUGGUGAAAGGGUCACUGCCUCCAUACCACAGUCCAGCAACAGACACUGCUGCACCAAUGUACUCCAGAACAGGGGAUACCUUACAGCACUGCAAAUUACAAGAGAUUUUGUUAACUGUGUGUGUGUGUGUGUGUGUGUGUGUGUGUGUGUGUGUGUGUGUGUAAAUCUAUCUAGCCUAGUGGUAGUACGGUUAGGUCACCACAAAUGCGGGGAUUCAUUUCUUCUGAUAGCAGAUGAUUAUGUUAAAGUUAUAAUGAAAGUACAGUAAAACCUACAUAAAGCAAACUAUAUGGGGUGAGGGUGCCAACAGUUUAUCCAAAAGUUUGAUUUAUUUGAUAAUACACAUUUUUGUCUAGUUUCUAUGUACAUAAACAUGUUGGCAUAUUAUAAAUCCUGUGAUAAAUAUUUACGGUAUAUUUUGUUACUAUACAAUGCACUAACUGGUCACUCAGAGUUCAUUUAACGUUACACAAUUACACAGUUAGUGUUCACUUAAGAGCUCACAACUGUAUACAACACACUGGUUACAUAUGAGCUAACACAACAUUAUGUACUGUACUACUAGUGUACUUUUGCUUGUCAUUCGGAGUCUGAGUCAAAGAUGUUGGCUGGUGUCAUUAGGGAUGGAGCUGGGCAAACUGGCUGAGGAGGUUGAUAAGGGGGUUGGUUUAGGGAGAUUUAUAUUGUAAUGACAAAAAAAAAAAAAAUUACUGAUUUUCACCUGUGAGAAAGGCCAAAAAAAAUCUUAAUAAAAUAUUUCCAGACUAUC
Scylla paramamosain (green mud crab) is the source of this 1622-nucleotide long non-coding RNA. RefSeq lists it as uncharacterized. The transcript has 4 exons. The record is from RefSeq and is a predicted model, not a curated record. Lineage: Eukaryota; Metazoa; Arthropoda; Malacostraca; Decapoda; Portunidae.